CUAUGAUCAGCUUUCUUCCACAACAAGUAGAGGGUUUUUCCAGACAGAUCACUGAGAAAUAUUGCACUGCACUCAUGUCAGCUUGGGUUCACCAGCCCCAGGCAGGGCCUUCAGCUGUCAGAAUGCAAAUAGAAAGAUGUGCCAUGUUCUGGAGACACUAUUUGCCCUUAGAAGCACACCACAGGGCAGGCAGCCUGAGCAAAGACUUCCCAUCAUCGUCUUCCACUUUGGAAAGAGAACUAGCCAAGCAACAUCUCGGUGAAGCACUGGGGCUUUCUGUGCUGGAUGAGGGGUGCAAGAGGAUCCCUGCUGUCUGCUGCAGGAGUGGCCAUCACAGAGGUAAGCAUUAUAAACCCUAAUUCACGUCUUGGCCUGGGCUCCGAGAUCUAGCUGUGCUCAGUCGAAUGUGGUCCGCUUUCAAAACUUUGGAGAUUCUGUCACACACCUUCCAUAGCAUUAAAAAAUACCAC
This is a long non-coding RNA of Numida meleagris (helmeted guineafowl), 470 nucleotides long. RefSeq lists it as uncharacterized. The transcript is spliced from 4 exons. The record is from RefSeq and is a predicted model, not a curated record. Lineage: Eukaryota; Metazoa; Chordata; Aves; Galliformes; Numididae.